CAUUAGAUGACUGAAAGAAAGUAAUGGUCUCUUAAACCAACCCAUGGUAAUUAUCAACUACCUCUAAUG
Molecule: transfer RNA, 69 nt
Filed under: Cucujoidea sp. 37 KM-2017
Lineage: Eukaryota; Metazoa; Arthropoda; Insecta; Coleoptera
Description: tRNA-Lys
Source: RNAcentral